Eubalaena glacialis (North Atlantic right whale) is the source of this 191-nucleotide long non-coding RNA. RefSeq lists it as uncharacterized. The record is from RefSeq and is a predicted model, not a curated record. Lineage: Eukaryota; Metazoa; Chordata; Mammalia; Artiodactyla; Balaenidae. The transcript has 3 exons.
GAAUGGCUUCCUACAGAGCUGGGCUCAGCCUGCAGCCCUGCUCUUGGAGUGACUCACCUCCCAUAGCCUUGCAGGCAGAAGCAGCCUGGUCCCUGGCUGUCCAGGAAGAGGGAGUGCAGCCCAAGAGGCAGGUGCCUGGCAGCUGCCCGUGGAUGCCAGCCCUGUGAACUGGCCUGGGAGGAAGUGCUUGU